AUGCGAUAAGUAAUGUGAAUUGCAGAAUUCAGUGAAUCAUCGAAUCUUUGAACGCACAUUGCGCCCGCCAGUAUUCUGGCGGGCAUGCCUGUUCGAGCGUCAUUUCAACCAUCAAGCCCCGGGCUUGUGUUGGGGACCUGCGGCUGCCGCAGGCCCUGAAAUGCAGUGGCGGGCUCGCUGUCACUCCGAGCGUAGUAGUUACAUCUCGCUCUGGGCGUGCUGCGGGUUCCGGCCGUUAAAAGCCUUAUUUACCCAAGGUUGACCUCGGAUCAGGUAGGAAGACCCGCUGAACUUAA
This 296-nucleotide unclassified non-coding RNA is filed under the name uncultured Chaetomium. RNAcentral describes it as "partial contains 5.8S ribosomal RNA, internal transcribed spacer 2, and large subunit ribosomal RNA". The stretch from base 1 to 102 matches the Rfam family "5.8S ribosomal RNA", at positions 53 to 154 of the family's 154-position model. The record is from RNAcentral. Lineage: Eukaryota; Fungi; Ascomycota; Sordariomycetes; Sordariales; Chaetomiaceae.